UAGGGAAUCUUCCACAAUGGACGCAAGUCUGAUGGAGCAACGCCGCGUGAGUGAAGAAGGUUUUCGGAUCGUAAAGCUCUGUUGUUGGUGAAGAAGGAUAGAGGCAGUAACUGGUCUUUAUUGACGGUAAUCAACCAGAAAGUCACGGCUAACUACGUGCCAA
RNAcentral lists this ribosomal RNA (163 nucleotides) under uncultured bacterium. RNAcentral describes it as "partial 16S rRNA". It matches the Rfam family "Bacterial small subunit ribosomal RNA", at positions 355 to 511 of the family's 1533-position model. The record is from RNAcentral.